RNAcentral lists this ribosomal RNA (487 nucleotides) under uncultured bacterium. RNAcentral describes it as "bacterial SSU rRNA". It matches the Rfam family "Bacterial small subunit ribosomal RNA", at positions 32 to 507 of the family's 1533-position model. The record is from RNAcentral.
AACGCUAGCUACAGGCUUAACACAUGCAAGUCGAGGGGCAGCAUUUUAGUUGCUUAGCAAACUAAAGAUGGCGACCGGCGCACGGGUGAGUAACACGUAUCCAACCUGCCGAUAACUCGGGGAUAGCCUUUCGAAAGAAAGAUUAAUAUCCGAUAGUAUAUUAAAACCGCAUGGUUUUACUAUUAAAGAAUUUCGGUUAUCGAUGGGGAUGCGUUCCAUUAGUUUGUUGGCGGGGUAACGGCCCACCAAGACUACGAUGGAUAGGGGUUCUGAGAGGAAGGUCCCCCACAUUGGAACUGAGACACGGUCCAAACUCCUACGGGAGGCAGCAGUGAGGAAUAUUGGUCAAUGGACGAGAGUCUGAACCAGCCAAGUAGCGUGAAGGAUGACUGCCCUAUGGGUUGUAAACUUCUUUUAUAUGGGAAUAAAGUAUUCCACGUGUGGGAUUUUGUAUGUACCAUAUGAAUAAGGAUCGGCUAACUCCGUG